AAGUCGUAACAAGGUUUCCGUAGGUGAACCUGCGGAAGGAUCAUUAAUAAUAACCUGUUUGAGAAGCAAUUCUCUUACUAACAACACCUUGUGAACUAGUAACGUUCUUCGGAACGGCCUUUGGCAAUCUGUGGAUUGUCACUGGAUCAUAUUAUACCUUUGUAAUCUUUGUAGACUUAAAACAAACUAAUUAUAUACAACCUUUAACAAUGGAUCUCUUGGCUCCUGC
Molecule: unclassified non-coding RNA, 229 nt
Filed under: fungal sp.
Lineage: Eukaryota; Fungi
Description: partial internal transcribed spacer region
Rfam family: Eukaryotic small subunit ribosomal RNA (bases 1-46)
Source: RNAcentral